GAUGAACGCUGGCGGCGUGCCUAAUACAUGCAAGUCGAGCGAACAGACGAGGAGCUUGCUCCUCUUACGUUAGCGGCGGACGGGUGAGUAACACGUGGAUAACCUACCUAUAAGACUGGGAUAACUUCGGGAAACCGGAGCUAAUACCGGAUAAUAUAUUGAACCGCAUGGUUCAAUAGUGAAAGACGGUUUUGCUGUAACUUAUAGAUGGAUCCGCGCCGCAUUAGCUAGUUGGUAAGGUAACGGCUUACCAAGGCAACGAUGCGUAGCCGACCUGAGAGGGUGAUCGGCCACACUGGAACUGAGACACGGUCCAGACUCCUACGGGAGGCAGCAGUAGGGAAUCUUCCGCAAUGGGCGAAAGCCUGACGGAGCAACGCCGCGUGAGUGAUGAAGGUCUUCGGAUCGUAAAACUCUGUUAUUAGGGAAGAACAAAUGUGUAAGUAACUAUGCACGUCUUGACGGUACCUAAUCAGAAAGCCACGGCUAACUACGUG
Molecule: ribosomal RNA, 497 nt
Filed under: uncultured bacterium
Lineage: Bacteria
Description: partial 16S ribosomal RNA
Rfam family: Bacterial small subunit ribosomal RNA
Source: RNAcentral